RNAcentral lists this ribosomal RNA (206 nucleotides) under uncultured bacterium. RNAcentral describes it as "partial 16S ribosomal RNA". It matches the Rfam family "Bacterial small subunit ribosomal RNA", at positions 570 to 774 of the family's 1533-position model. The record is from RNAcentral.
CGCAGGCGGUUAUUUAAGUCAGGUGUGAAAUCCCCGGGCUUAACCUGGGAAUGGCGCUUGAGACUGGAUAGCUUGGAGUGCGGCAGAGGGAGGUGGAAUUCCACGUGUAGCAGUGAAAUGCGUAGAGAUGUGGAGGAACACCGAUGGCGAAGGCAGCCUCCUGGGCCAGCACUGACGCUCAUGCACGAAAGCGUGGGGAGCAAACA